Molecule: long non-coding RNA, 1997 nt
Organism: Tyto alba (common barn owl)
Lineage: Eukaryota; Metazoa; Chordata; Aves; Strigiformes; Tytonidae
Exons: 3
Source: RefSeq, a predicted model, not a curated record
CAGGCACCGACCUCCCCUAACUGCCCACGUGCACCUGAACAGCGAUGACGGGCUGCAGGGCGUCACUGUUUCCAUACUCUUAAUUCCUUCCCCAGACACCUCCAGCUCACGGCGGGUACCUUUGCCAAGUCAUCUCAGCCUCAGUCACCAUCACGCUGGGGUCUUUUUCAGUAUAAAAUGUCUCAUCCACCUAAAAUAAAGCUCUUGAUAAGAUUAGUCUUAUAAACUGUGUGGAUGCUGAGGCGGUACGCUCCAGAUUGGCCCACAGUAACAGAGUGUCAGGAUCUCAGGAAACGGCUUCUGCACGCCCCCCGUGCCUUUGUCUUGGUUGCAGAGCAGAGGCAAGCACGAGGCCCACGGUUUGACGGACAUGACCCCCCCCCCCAUCCUUGAGAAACCACUGUGAAAACAGAGGUGACAUCAUUUUGUGAAGGACACAGCGUUCUUCCACUCACACAGGCCAUGAAAAAUAGGUGGCAAAAUCAAACACGUGAGGCACAAUUUAUGUCAUAAAUGUACGGCAAAUUUGAACCACUGGCAGUUAGUCAGGUUGUUGGCUUCUGGUUUGCGGGGACCGGUUGUCCCUGCAGUGCUGUGGCUUAGGCCAUAGGGUAGUUCAUGUCGCGUGACUGAUCUGACACUGAGUCCCGGUAAAGGCAUUCCAGCCUGCAAUACCCUCUUCCUUUACUCCGACGCUGUUCGGAUUUCUUCGCGUCUCCCUGCUGAGGCAACCAGGAAUUACAGGUUCAUGCGAGUUCAUCUGUACAAAGCCACAGAACACCUCCUUUCUCAUGCAGGAACCUAGCAGAUACAGUCCGCUAUUGGCAGGGAUCGCUAAUGUGAUGCAGGAAGACUCAUCCUCGAACAGUUUUCCGCUCCUCGUCCUGGAAGAAAAGUUUAUGCUUGCAGUGUUGUCCAAGGACAAAACCAAUACAGACGUUCAGGAACAGAAUUUUUUGUACCCAAAUGGAAGCUGCAUCUUCUUAGUGCGAUCUCUCAGCCAUGGCAUCAGUUGAGGCAGGUACCGAGAGGUAACCCUCAUUUCAGACCGCAGGGUUGAAACCGGGAAGACCAGUCGAGAGAACGAGAACUAGACCCUGAUGGAAGCGGGACAAAACCCGCCUUCGGGCGACCGUUACCGCCGCGACGCGGCCCGCGGGCGCCAUCUUGUGGGCAGGCGGCCAUUAGCCGCGGGCGCGCCGGUCACGUCCCCCUUCUCCUGAGGGGGCUCCCGGGCGGCCGGGCCGAUCGGUACGGCCGGCGCUGCGGAGCGCGCGGGCCCCGCCGGUCGGAGCGGCGGCGGCUGCCGGCCCCAGGGUGCCCUGAGGGGGCUCAUGUCGGGGGCGCUGGCGGCUGUUUCCAGCACAGCGCCCAACAGUGACCUGAGUGCACGAGUUGUGGGGGCGUGACGGCUCCGAGGCUUUCAGAAUUCCCUUGUUUCCCCUUUCUCUCCGAGCACUUGAUUUACGGAUGAAAGACUUCGCAACUCAGGGUUGUAAAGCAGCAAGGGGGAGAAGACGAGGCUGCUGGAGCGCCGCGGGAGGGCCCAGGGACUGCCCGCCAUGCCAAGGAGCUGCGAGCAGCCCCGAAGAGCUGUCACGGCGCCCACCCUUUCCAGCCGGAGAGCUGCCAGCAACGGUGACGUGUGGAAAACAGAUUCCACAAUCUGAUAGAUUGUAAAGUAGGUAAUCAUAGGUGAAACACAGGGAAACUGAAUUGAAUUCACCUUUGAAUAAGUGGGAAAGCAGAAAAGUUUCUUUGUUCAUCGCUACCGCACUCUUUCUCCAUUCCUUUAGUGUGUAUUUACAAUAUAGUUUUUUAAACAGGAAAGUAAAUCAAGAUUGUAGAAUGCUGCUGUAUGAAAAACAUGAUCAAAUUCAGAUCCCUUUUAUGGUAGGAUGAACGACAGCUAAAAGUCAUCAACAUACUUAUUCCAUAAUGCAAUCUAUCUUAAAAUCCUAAAAACCCAUUAUGUAAAUUGGGCUAGUAUAUGAAUG